This 889-nucleotide non-coding RNA is filed under the name Trichomonas vaginalis G3. RNAcentral's name for it is "Eukaryotic large subunit ribosomal RNA". It matches the Rfam family "Eukaryotic large subunit ribosomal RNA", at positions 1044 to 2136 of the family's 3401-position model. The record is from Rfam by way of RNAcentral. Lineage: Eukaryota; Parabasalia; Trichomonadida; Trichomonadidae.
UUCUCAACUUAUUCCAAACUUCGAACCUCCUUGUUAGGCAUUUACCUAACUGGAAAUGCUUAAAUGAAUUAGCGUUACAAGUGGGCUCUGACCGGUAAGCGGUCAUGGCGAAAUGGGAUGAACCAUACGUCUGAAUAAGGUGCCGAAAUGUACUAUCACUGAUACCAUAAAGGGAGUCCAUGUAUUUAGACAGCAGGUCGGUGCCCCUAAAAGCAGGUAUCCGCUAAAGAGUGUGUUAAAACUCACCUGCCGAAUACUAGGGCCCCGAAAAUGAAUGGCGCAUAUAGUACUACCGAUCUCAGACAUCAGUUCUAUUGAACUGAGAGUAGGGGGAUGUGGACAUUUUUGUGAAGGUGCAAUGUGAGUUGGACUGGAAGAAUGUCUAUUACAGAUCCUAAUUGAAGUAGCGAUUAUCCAGGCUUGUAUCCUGGGGGCUGAUGAGGAGUAGGGUUUCUGGACAACUUAAACAGAUCCAGAGUUAGUCGAUCCUAAUCUCAAUAAUGGGAGAAAGGGAGUACAGUUGAUAUUCUGUAACUGACAACAGUUCGCGGCAACGCAUACUAUUUUUCUCCGCCAAUCUUAUACCGUUGGUAGGGAUCUCUUUCCUACAUGACAGUACUAAUACCCAGGGAAACUGGUCAUCAGGCGAACUGCGGCGUUCUGCUGGCAAAACAUAGCUUCGGUUAUGUCAAUGGCUAUUGGAUUGGUCCAUGAAGCGAAAAAUAGUUUACUGUGUCACUCGUACCGAUAACCGCAUCAGGUCUUCUAGGUAAGUAGCCUAUGGCCAUUGAGGCAUGAUAGUUCAGGGAAUUCGGCCAAUUAGAGCUGUAACUUCGGGAUAAAGCUUGGCUCUGAUGAAAAUCAGAACCGAUUGUACGCGGAGAGCCCA